CGUGGCCUGUUACCUUGUAUUUCGGAACCGCAGAGGGCAGACCAGGUAAACCUUGUGGUGGGGCCGGGAGAGCUCCCGACUCAGGAGGAGUCAGGGGAGGCUUCCCGGGGGAGGUGACCCCAGGCCGAGACCCGAGGGCGAGUAGAAGCUGGCAGAUGAGGGGGUCAGGAGGUGGGAGCAACCCAGAUGCUGACAGAUGAUGAUGAAGAACAAGAUGUGGAAUAUUAUGCAGCCUUGAAAAGGAAGGGCCUUCUGAGAGGAAACGUGGAGGUGUGAGACACACAUGGGAGUGUGCACAGAGGACACCAAUCCCACACGUGGACACCCGCGCAACCACCACUCGAAUCUUUGAAACGGAUCCCCGCUCUCCAGAAGGUUCCAACUGCCUCUUCCCAGUCCAUACGUGGCUCCUGUCCACGCUGGCCUCCCAUCAUCGUCAGUUUUAUCUUCAAAACCCAGAAUUCCCCUUCCUUUUCCAUCACAGCUUGAGAUCGGGUCUUUGGGAUUAAGUGACUCUGGCA
Long non-coding RNA from Fukomys damarensis (Damara mole-rat), 521 nucleotides. RefSeq lists it as uncharacterized. The transcript has 3 exons. The record is from RefSeq and is a predicted model, not a curated record. Lineage: Eukaryota; Metazoa; Chordata; Mammalia; Rodentia; Bathyergidae.